AUCGGGCAUGUUCGAGGCACUGGGAAUAUAUAGCAGAGAACAAAACAGAAGUGGACCCACUGGCGCUUAAUGAAUGCGGGUGGGACUGAGCCAAGGAAGGCGCCAACAGGAAAUUCCCCGGAGCAGUGAGGGAUGGAUGUCGGAGGUCGGCCAGGGAUACCAUCUCCAGCAUCAAGCCUCCCAGCGAGCUGGAAAGAAACCGGUCCCACAGGAGAGGUUUUUCUGUUUGUUUUCCUCAAGCUUGACUUCUAACAAGAGAAUUUAAUUAAGAGCUCCAUUGCUUCGCCCAGGGAAUAAAAAUCCGAGGGAACAGCAAGGCGGAGGCUGGUGCCCGCCAGGAAAGGAGGAAGGGGCCUCUCUUGACUCAGAUCAGCCUGGGGCGGGUUUAAGCUACAGCAGAGAAGUUCAGCUCACAGAGGACAUUCGGUCUGACCCCAAGACAAGCAUCUUUUCCUGCAGGAAAAGUUUUCGAUUCUGCGGUGCAAAUGUAAAGAAGUUUAAACCAGCUGAAGCAACAGGCAGAGUUUGAUAUUCCCAAUUAUUCCCGCUCAUCCCACUCCAACUGUCUCCCCCGGGGCUGCUGGGGUGUAGAGGCAAGUCAGUGGGUCUGAGUUCAAAUUCCAAUACUGCACCGUCCUCUGCCUCAGUAGCAUCAUCUGUAAAAUGGGACAACUCCACCAAUGCAGUCACGUGACCCACCUAUACAAUAAGGAUAAUAACAUCUUUCUCGAAGAGUUGAGGGUGGGGGAGAUGACUGAGCUGGGAGCUGGAAAACAGAAGGGAGAUAAUGUGUGAGAUAGUAAAGGGCGUGGGCUUGAGAAUUAGACAGGCCUGCUGCUCACUUGGGCUGGAUGGCAUUUCUCUGAGCCACAGUUUCCUCAUCUGUAAAAUGGGGAUGUUAGUGCCUACUCCACUGGGUUAUUAAUGAGAACGAAAUGAAACACGAUAUGGAAAUACCUACCACUGGGCCUGGCCAAUCAUUAAAUGUUUGUGAAAUUUGAAACAUCCCCUCCCACCCGCCCCACAUCACCACCAGAUUCCCAGGAUUUGUCAUGGAGAGAAAUCUUUAUGAUUUGUGAUUUGACAUGGCUUCCUACUUCUCUGCUCUCUGAGACUUCUGGGGCUGGGCUGGAGGGUCAGUCAUUUGCCAAGAGGACACAUUUUCCUUGACUUCUGACUUCCCGCAGGACUGACAUAGACUGAGGAUGGGGCCAGUUUAGUCAUCUUAACAAAAUUCAAUCAUGAGUUCUGUUCUUUUUUUUUUUUUUUUAAAGGCAAUAUUCAACUUAGUCUAACCAGUCAUUUCAACCAAAAAGGCUGAAAUGUUUUGUGAGUGGAGGAGCUGAUGUCCUGGUACUUGGUUUAACUCAUGACAAAGCCAUUUGAGAAGGACUUUGAUGUUUCUGCCCCCAGGUGGCCAGGAGGAAGCCUUUAACUCACCCCUCAGCUUCUGGAAGUCUCAGGAAUCUCUCAGGAAGAACUGAGGCUGCAAGAAACAGAGAAGACACUUGGCCCCGGGUUUGAGUUCCCAUUCACCUGGCUGUUCAUUCUUGCCAGGGGUCCGUCGGAUGGGAAGAAAAGCUUGAGAACGCAGAGGCAGGGGACUCACCGACAUG
Molecule: long non-coding RNA, 1616 nt
Organism: Myotis brandtii (Brandt's bat)
Lineage: Eukaryota; Metazoa; Chordata; Mammalia; Chiroptera; Vespertilionidae
Exons: 3
Source: RefSeq, a predicted model, not a curated record